Molecule: long non-coding RNA, 4466 nt
Organism: Dromaius novaehollandiae (emu)
Lineage: Eukaryota; Metazoa; Chordata; Aves; Casuariiformes; Dromaiidae
Exons: 6
Source: RefSeq, a predicted model, not a curated record
UGAACUUUUGCCUUAAACAUUUCUUGGUACAUAAGGUGCAAGCAAACCAAAACGCCAAACAAGCCAUCUGUUCCCAGCGGAAACAGGACUGAGCUGCUGCGACCCCUGAAAUGGUCUCCCUGCGACCAUGCGGGACACACCGAGCCUGUGCUGAACCGGACCGCGAUUGGACAGAGACUUUGGGACCUGAACUGCAAAUUACUGCUGCUUAACACAACUUUUAUAAAACUUGCUUAGCCGCACUCCCUAGUUCAGUGAGAAAGGGCCCCAGAGCUGGUGCAGACUGGAAAGAUAAGGGAGUUACAAGCAGUUUGCAUUCCUAUGCUUCACACUCCAGGAGGGAGGAUGUCAAGGCUUUGAAAUAAGGCCUGCUUGGGCGCCAGGACCCUGGGAAACAAAGCCUCCCCUCAGUGCUGAAACAGUGUUAAUUAGGGGGGGUCUGGAUUAUAUCCUCCUCGUCAGGACCUUGGAAGAUAACACCUACUGUCACUGCUGGGGCAGUGCUAAUUGCUGGAACAACACCUGUUUGUCAGGGCCCUGAGAAAGAAGGGCAGAACCCGAGGAAUCAACACAUUUGUCAGCAGAAACCGCAACAGUAAAGAUAAGGGAGAAAAGCAGCCUGCCUGGGAACAACGAUGAGACCCAAUAGGGAGCAGGAGACCCCAGACCCAAAAAUUACUAUUGGUCUGAACUACCGCGUGAGGGGUGGGAAACUUAAUUUGAAAAAGCUAUAAUUGCCCAGGGAUUUCUUUGUUCAGGGUCCCUCUUUGGAGGCACCCAACUCGAGCUGUAACUACUGCACGCGUGUCAUUCCAAACUUUUCAGCCGGAACCUAGGGUCGGACCCUGCUCGAGUUGUAAUUACUGCACACGCAUCGCUAAAAUUUACACCCAGGGUGAAGAGGACCAACGGGACGCCGCUGGAUCCACGGGUGGUGAGGCCAGCUGCUAUCAGUCGUGAGUUCAUGUUUCAUGCUACACUCGUGCUGUUUAUUUGGGUAUCUAAGAAGUGCUCCACUACAUAGAAGGAACUGGAAAUUCAUGUUGAACUGUCUGACACAUUCUUUUAGCACUGGUUCAGCUUUUUUUCCCAGUUCCUGUAUGAAGACAACUCUACUUGGAAUAUGGAAGAAUGGAAGGAGCUGGGGCGGAAAUAGAGAAAUUGGACUGGUGUAGAUAUACCCACACCAAUAAUGCAUCAGGAAGGGAUUUUAGGGAUGUCAAGGUUUUUUUCAUAGAACAACAUUUUUUCCCUUAAAAGAUGGAUCUACCAUCAUUUCUCAGCAUUGACUCUAUACAGACAGAUGAAAGCAUCCAGGAUGGAUCCAGGGGCUCUGGAAACCCCCUGAUGUACUGGGGACUCUGGGGUAUGAAGAAGUCGUUGAGUCACCAGUGAUCUCGGUGGAGCACAGAACAUUUACUAGCAGCAGAAAUAGAUGACAGUGUGGUGUUAUUGAUGUGUCUAAGAUACACAGUGAGCUGUCUGAGAUUUCACUGCAAGCCUGGUGUGAAACUGAAUGACUUGAAGAUUAGCAAAAAGGGACAAGGAACAUAUUCGGGUCCUCUCUGCAGGCAUUCAAUGUGAAUAAUAUAUCUGGAAACAGCCAAAGUUGAAAAAGAGGGAUGCCAGUUUGUGACUAAAUGUGGAAAGAAAACGUUAUCUUGUUAGAAAUAUGGAAUUAUUCAUGCUUUGCAAAUUGUACCCUGAGAAACCAGCCUCUGGAAGAACAAAUCAGAAAGAUGGUGGAUGGGGUGCAUCUGACCAGUGUUUCUGAGUUGUUUUUUGUUAUUCUUUGUUAAAGGCAGCACCUAGUCCCAAGAAGCUGACUGAAGGUAUCAUCUCCGGUAUGCUGAUGUUAGUUUUAAAUAAACCUUGGAAUAUUAAGAAAAUUCCAUAUGCUUUGAAUUACUUAUGUGUACCUUGAUGGACUGAUGAUCACAUAUUGUUACUUCCUAAUCAGAUGGCACCAAAUAGUGAUAACUGAGAUAUUAAAAAGAGACUAAACAAUUUCUUGGUUCUGUUCAGCUAAAGUGUGGGGAUGAGUAUUUUUGGCAUGUAUUGCUGGUUGAGAUAGACAGCACCACAAGCCUUUCUCCUGACUAUUUCUGGGUAUUGGUUUAUGUGUUAUAAUACCAUCUUAGCUUUUAGUGGCUGGGGUAAGAAAAUUAGUGAUUGCUGCCCCAUAACACUUAGAUGCUUUUUUACCUCACAUGUUAAAGGUAUUUACCAUGAAAGUUACAGAAUUUAGGAUUCUAGUCAGAACACCAUAUAUCGUGAAAAUAGAAAACAUGAUAUGUUUUAUCUGUUGCUUUCAGAGAGUGGAUUCAUUACUGCAGGACUUACCCAUUAAAAGAACUAAUAUUCAGUAGAAAGUGGAAACUACUUUUAGAUAAGAUUUGCACUUCCUGCUCCAUAAUAUUUAACAAUUUUCCCUUUUCUCAUUGUAUUAUUUCGAUGUGAAGUGCUCCUGUGGUUGGCGACAUGAUUCCACAGCUGCAGAGCACAAUCUAAGAGGGGACUGCUGCAGCCUCAUGGUCCAUUGCCCUUUUUUUGUGCAGGGGCACAGAGAACAAUGAGCUGAGCUAGUUACUAGUCACUCUUUUCUAGGAUGGAAAUUGGUUCUUUGUGCAUAUUUACUAACACUGGCAUAAGGGAAAUGAGAGGGUGGAAAGGCAGAUCCAAGACAGCCUAAAUUUUGAUUGGAUCAUUUUGCUGUAGAAUUUCUCAGUCAGUUUAUUUUUGUCUGUAUUUCAAAAUCCUUCAAAAUCUUUACUCAUCUUCAAAGGUGAAAGUGCUAAUUCCAGCUUUUUUUCCAUGUGUUUCAAUGUCUAGGCUAAAAGUCAAACUGUGCUGACUUUUGGAGUAGCAAGCUGUUUAAUUUUCUGCAAACAAAGGACAAAAUGUUGCAUCAGCCUUAAUCUGUGGUAGGUCAAAAAUAAGGAAGACAACCUAACAAGAAAAUGUGAAGAAAAUCCCUGUAGCGGACAUUUUAUGUAGGAAUGUCUGUGGUAUGGUAAUUGCCUAGGAUUUGCUCAGCUUUUUGAGCAUGUCUUCACACCUAUAUUUAUGUUUGUGCUGGCUUUAAAGCCAGCUUUGGUAAAUAAGCGUUAAGACACAACAAUGACAUCAGUUUAAACUCCCCUAGUAGGUUAACAUUUUCAGCUACUCUGAGCAAAAAAUAGCUGUAUUUGCUGUUGGCUUCAUGGCUCAGUUGUUUGGAAUUGCAACACAUACACGACAGAGUCAUGGAAGUCUUAGGGCUACGCAGCCUGCACAAAGAGCCGUGAUGCAUUUUGAAGAUUUUUUCUUUUUUUGUAUCUCCACUGAAAGACAGAAUGCAGUGGGUUUCAAGGUCCUAGAGGUUGAGAAUUCAGUACCUUUAAUUGGCAGUAAGCUCAUUUAAAUGCCCAUUGGGGAGUGCUGCAAAAUCUCUAUUUCUAGGUCUGCUCUAUUCUUUGCAAUUCAAAUAGCAUGCAGCUGAAUGUUCAGAUGGGAGUCUAUGAGGCACAAGAGGUGCUGAUAAUUUUAAAUAAAUCUCAAAGUAUCCCCAAAGGAAGAAAAAAUUAUCUCUAUCUUUUUAUUCUCAUCAUCUGACAAACUUUUCAUAGUUCAUCCUUAGGAUGCUGGCAGCUUCAUGAUUCUGCAUGGAGAAGGCAAAAAAAGCAUUAGAGCUUCCCUUUACCCCUUUCUUCUCAUGCAGCUCUGAAAAGUUGAUUCACCUGUUUUCCAGAUCACUAAACAUAUUAUUUAGGAAGAGAAAGACAGAGAAGGGGUGUAGAAGAGAGGGAUAAAUCCAAUCAAUUCCUCAGUUGAGUGAAUGGAAGCUUCUAAAGAAGCAUGUUCUAGGUGAAGUGAAAUUGCUAACAUCCAGUGUUCCCAGUUCUAUGAGUAACAUAUUAAGGGAAGUUGUUUCCAGCUUUUUGAGGUGGACAAGUCUAUUUGAAACAAAUUAUUGGUUCCCUUCCAUUGUAUACUUUGAUAUGAUAGGCUGAAUGUCCAGUUUGCAGUACAGGCUUAAACUCCACUUUCUUGGAUUUCUAAUAUUUAUUUAAUUCUCUUAAUUAGCAUAUUUUUGGAAAGUAAAAUAUUUGGAAGCCAUUGACAUGGAUUGUGUUUAACUUGAAUUUCAUUAAAAUGAGGGUAAUUUGGAUUGGGAUGUGCAUAUCAGAGAGAGGAAGACAUCACUAAUAAAAAGAAAGCAGCUGCCUGGAGUCUGGAACAUACUAUCUGCUUAAUAUCACUUAGCACUCAGUUGUUCAGAGUAUGAAGUUAGCACAAACAACAUAUAAAACCAGAACAAAAAUGUUUAAAUAGCCAAGCUAUAGAAUCACUCGGGUUGGAAUUUGGCUUGAGCACAGAAUUUAUCCAGUUAUUUCUGCAAAAAUAAAAUAUGUAUUUGAACCUGGGAGUCCUGUUUUGUAAAGAUUUCCUCAUUGUUUUCUGCAAAAAUAAACUCCUGUGUAAAG